Molecule: ribosomal RNA, 466 nt
Filed under: uncultured bacterium
Lineage: Bacteria
Description: partial 16S ribosomal RNA
Rfam family: Bacterial small subunit ribosomal RNA
Source: RNAcentral
GACGAACGCUGGCGGCGCGCCUAACACAUGCAAGUCGAACGAGCGAGAGAGAGCUUGCUUUCUCAAGCGAGUGGCGAACGGGUGAGUAACGCGUGAGGAACCUGCCUCAAAGAGGGGGACAACAGUUGGAAACGACUGCUAAUACCGUAUAAGCCCACAGGUCGGCAUCGACCAGAGGGAAAAGGAGCAAUCCGCUUUGAGAUGGCCUCGCGUCCGAUUAGCUAGUUGGUGAGGUAACGGCCCACCAAGGCAACGAUCGGUAGCCGGACUGAGAGGUUGAACGGCCACAUUGGGACUGAGACACGGCCCAGACUCCUACGGGAGGCAGCAGUGGGGAAUAUUGCACAAUGGGGGAAACCCUGAUGCAGCGACGCCGCGUGGAGGAAGAAGGUCUUCGGAUUGUAAACUCCUGUUGUUGAGGAAGAUAAUGACGGUACUCAACAAGGAAGUGACGGCUAACUACGUG